RNAcentral lists this ribosomal RNA (253 nucleotides) under uncultured bacterium. Its description in RNAcentral is "partial 16S ribosomal RNA". It matches the Rfam family "Bacterial small subunit ribosomal RNA", at positions 524 to 776 of the family's 1533-position model. The record is from RNAcentral.
UACGGAGGGGGCUAGCGUUGUUCGGAAUUACUGGGCGUAAAGCGCACGUAGGCGGUUUUGUAAGUCAGGGGUGAAAGCCCGGAGCUCAACUCCGGAAUUGCCUUUGAGACUGCAUCACUUGAUCGUCGGAGAGGUGAGUGGAAUUCCGAGUGUAGAGGUGAAAUUCGUAGAUAUUCGGAAGAACACCAGUGGCGAAGGCGGCUCACUGGACGACUGAUGACGCUGAGGUGCGAAAGCGUGGGGAGCAAACAGG